GGUAUGGGAUGAGCUCGCGUCUGAUUAGCUAAGUUGGUGAGGUAAUGGCUCACCAAGGCGACGAUCAGUAGCCGACCUGAGAGGGUGAACGGCCACACUGGAACUGAGACACGGUCCAGACUCCUACGGGAGGCAGCAGUGGGGAAUAUUGCACAAUGGGCGCAAGCCUGAUGCAGCAACGCCGCGUGAAUGAUGAAGGCCUUCGGGUCGUAAAGUUCUGUCCAAAGGGAAGAAUACAGUGACGGUACCUUUGGAGGAAGCCCCGGCUAACUACGUGCCAGCAGCCGCGGUAAUACGUAGGGGGCAAGCGUUAUCCGGAAUCACUGGGCGUAAAGGGAGCGUAGGCGGUUUGACAAGCCAGAGGUGAAAGGCAAUAGCUUAACUAUUGUAAGCCUUUGGAACUGUCGAACUUGAGUGCAGGAGAGGAAAGUGGAAUUCCUAGUGUAGCGGUGAAAUGCGUAGAUAUUAGGAGGAACACCAGUGGCGUAGGCGACUUUCUGGACUGUAACUGACGCUGAGGCUCGAAAGCGUGGGGAGCGAACAGGAUUAGAU
This 552-nucleotide ribosomal RNA is filed under the name uncultured bacterium. Its description in RNAcentral is "bacterial SSU rRNA". It matches the Rfam family "Bacterial small subunit ribosomal RNA", at positions 217 to 783 of the family's 1533-position model. The record is from RNAcentral.